AUGCCAGUCUCAGCCUUUUGGCUAAGAUCAAGGGUAGUAGCUGUUCUUAUCAGUUUAAUAUCUGAUACGCCCCCUAUCUGGGGGCCAUAUAGUAAAUGGAUUUUUUGAAGAGGGAGAUAGAAGAAGAGUUUGCUCUGUCCACUCCACGAACCUAUCUAAUGCACGAUAUUGACGCGUUAUUCAACCCAU
Small nuclear RNA from Pseudophryne corroboree (corroboree frog), 189 nucleotides. RefSeq annotates it as U2 spliceosomal RNA. The record is from RefSeq and is a predicted model, not a curated record. The transcript has a single exon. Lineage: Eukaryota; Metazoa; Chordata; Amphibia; Anura; Myobatrachidae.